Potamilus streckersoni is the source of this 73-nucleotide non-coding RNA. The record is from the annotation of a GenBank genome assembly. NCBI's taxonomy places the organism in Eukaryota, Metazoa, Mollusca, Bivalvia, Unionida, Unionidae.
GCUCCAGUGGCCUAGUGGUUCCAGCGUUCGCCUCAGAUGCGGGAAGUCGCGGGUUCAAUCCCUGGUUGAGUCA